Molecule: long non-coding RNA, 946 nt
Organism: Oncorhynchus tshawytscha (Chinook salmon)
Lineage: Eukaryota; Metazoa; Chordata; Actinopteri; Salmoniformes; Salmonidae
Source: Ensembl
UGCAUGCAUCUCCUUAAAAAGUUACUUCUCCAAGAAGAAAUGCGAUGUCACCUGUCUGUAGUGUGAGCAGGCAUACUGAGUCAGUGAGUCAGAGAGAGAGUGUCUGUAGUGUGAGCAGGCAUACUGAGUCAGUGAGUCAGAGAGAGAGUGUCUGUAGUGUGAGCAGGCAUACUGAGUCAGUGAGUCAGAGAGAGAGUGUCUGUAGUGUGAGCAGGCAUACUGAGUCUGAGUCAGAGAGAGAGUGUCUGUGUCUGUAGUGUGAGCAGGCAUACUGAGUCUGAGUCAGAGAGAGUGUCUAUAUCUGUAGUGUGAGCAGGCAUACUGAGUCAGUGAGUCAGAGAGAGAGUGUGUCUGUAGUGUGAGCAGGCAUACUGAGUCAGUGAGUCAGAGAGAGAGUGUGUCUGUAGUGUGAGCAGGCAUACUGAGUCAGUGAGUCAGAGAGAGUGUCUGUGUCUGUAGUGUGAGCAGGCAUACUGAGUCAGUGAGUCAGAGAGAGUGUCUGUAUCAGUAGUGUGAGCAGGCAUACUGAGUCUGAGUCAGAGAGAAAGUGUCUGUAGUGUGAGCAGGCAUACUGAGUCAGUGAGUCAGAGAGAGAGUGUGUCUAGUGUGAGCAGGCAUACUGAGUCAGUGAGUCAGAGAGAGUGUCUGUAUCAGUAGUGUGAGCAGGCAUACUGAGUCUGAGUCAGAGAGAAAGUGUGUCUGUAGUGUGAGCAGGCAUACUGAGUCAGUGAGUCAGAGAGAGAGUGUGUCUAGUGUGAGCAGGCAUACUGAGUCAGUGAGUCAGAGAGAGUUUUUCUGUGUCUGUAGUGUGAGCAGGCAUACUGAGUCAGUGAGUCAGAGAGAGUUUUUCUGUGUCUGUAGUGUGAGCAGGCAUACUGAGUCAGUGAGUCAGAGAGAGAGUGUCUGUAGUGUGAGCAGGCAUACUGAGUCAGUGAGUCAGAGAGAG